CCUACGUGUGGCAGCAGUGGGGAAUAUUGCACAAUGGGGGAAACCCUGAUGCAGCGACGCCGCGUGAGUGAAGAAGUAUUUCGGUAUGUAAAGCUCUAUCAGCAGGGAAGAAAAUGACGGUACCUGAUUAAGCAGCCCCGGCUAACUACGUGCCAGCAGCCGCGGUAAUACGUAGGGGGCAAGCGUUAUCCGGAUUUACUGGGUGUAAAGGGAGCGUAGACGGCAGCGCAAGUCUGAAGUGAAAUGCCGGGGCUUAACCCCGGAACUGCUUUGGAAAAUGUGCAGCUAGAGUGCAGGAGAGGUAAGUGGAAUUCAUAGUGUAGCGGUGAAAUGCGUAGAUAUCACGAAGAACUCCGAGUGCGAAGGCAGUUCACUGGACUGCAACUGACACUGAGGCUCGAAAGUGUGGGUAUCAAACAGGAUUAGAUACCCGAGUAGUC
Molecule: ribosomal RNA, 440 nt
Filed under: uncultured bacterium
Lineage: Bacteria
Description: partial 16S ribosomal RNA
Rfam family: Bacterial small subunit ribosomal RNA
Source: RNAcentral